This is a long non-coding RNA of Ostrinia nubilalis (European corn borer), 3416 nucleotides long. RefSeq lists it as uncharacterized. Lineage: Eukaryota; Metazoa; Arthropoda; Insecta; Lepidoptera; Crambidae. The transcript has 4 exons. The record is from RefSeq and is a predicted model, not a curated record.
UUGUAUUGUCGUGUUUUGCUGUGUUUUAUGCCCUUUAAAACAUUAGCUACCAUAACUUUUAUCUACGUUGAGUUGAGCCCUCUGCUCCUCCGUAUACGAAAGUAAUUGUUUCGCGAAAGGACGCUUUUAUUAUUGUUGCGACAAGGACGCUUACAAAUCGACCCGCUUAGUGUUAUGGACACUUUUUUUGCUCAGGCGCAGAGUCUGUUGUUUGUUUGUUUGUGAAGUGUUUUAUCAUCUUGUGACCAGAAUGCCGAAUGUUCAAUGCAUUAAUUGUAACGUUCGUUUGAGUCGCAUCAGGCGGCACGUUCUGUCAGAUGAGAGUGAUGUUCUGGUGAACACUAUCCGGCUAUGGACAUAUCCUAGAGAGUUGACACCAUCAGACCUUAUUUGCCAUGCUUGCUGGCAACUAGCAACACACGGGUCAACAUCCUCUGACAAUAUACCCAGAAGACAAGUUGGUCAUCAAAAUGUCUGUAUUGUUUGUGGACGGUCUACAGGGUGGAAACGAUAAGUGAUCUCAUUCGAUUAUUUCUAAACUAUACAAGAUAUCGAAAAACUGGUUACUAAUCCUGAGAGUGCUUCACAAGCUCUAUCCAACGGUACCAAUAUUAGGUUACAGAAUUAACUGGAUCUAUCCGAAAAUUUAAUGUUUUCAGUCUCCAUACUAAAUGUAUGCCAGCCAAACAAUAAUAGAAGUAUCAAUUUUUUUUAUUAAAUAAUAAACACUUAAAAUGAACUCGUAAAUUGCAUUCUUAUUUAAAAUGAUUAUUGGAAAACAUUGGUUUUAGGCUUUACUUGCAAUAAUAUUAACAAGACAUGAGUGCCAUGACUGUGGCUGUACUAAAUGUAUGGAAGCUGGAAACAAUGAAUUUUCGAAUGAAUCCAAUUUAUUUUGUAACCUAUUAUUGGUACCGUUGGAUAGCGAGCUCGUGAAGCACUUUCAGGACCAGUAACCAGUUUUUUAAUAUAAAAUAAAAAUAAAAAUAAAAUAAAAUAAAAAAUGUAUUUAAAAAAUAUCUUGUAUAGUUUUUAAUAUUAUGUGGUUUUACUAAAUGUAUGGAAGCUGCAAACAUUGAAUUUUCGGAUUGAUCCAGUUUAUUCUGUAACCUAUUAUUGGUACCGUUUGAAAGAGUUUUCAGUUUUCACUUUCAGAAUCAGUAAUCAGUUUUUCGAUAUCGUGUAUAGUUUAGAAAUAAUCGAGUGAGAUCACUUAACGUUUCCACCCUGUAUAUUAAGGAUUAAUAGACGAAGAGUUUUAGUUGAUGGAGUAAAUGAAGUAGAACAAAGAAUAUCCAAUGUUAUAUCUCAAUGGAUCCAACCACAGCAGCUUACCCAAAAUGAUGAGGCUUGUGUACCAUGUUGGCUUCGAGCAUCAAGAACUAGGGAUGUACCACUGGUGCCACCACAGCCAGAAAACCAGUCUACAAAUCCAACUGUGCAAAGUGAACCUGAUCCAAACGCAACCUGUUCUGUAUGUGGAAAUACUUUGCUUUCUACUAUGAGGCAAACAUCUGCCACAGAAGAACAGAGGAUAAUGGAAAUGAUUUCCCACUUGAUGGAAAACCAGCAGAUGCCACCUUUAAAUGAACUCUGUCGUGCCUGCUGGGGACGUGCACAAGAAAUAGAGUAUCCUCAAAUAAAUGUAAAUGAGAAUGAUGUUGUUCAGCAACCUCAAUUUAUUUCAUUGCCUAAUAUGCGACGAGCAGCUGAAACACCAAGACAUUGCAUUUUUCAAGAAUGCAGUGGGCUAGAGCGACAUACUAUACCAGAAGACACUCGCCGCCGUGUAUUGCUACAUUUUAAUUAUUUUAUACCAAGAGGUGCACGUAUCUGCAGACAACAUUUAGAAAAUGAACAAUAUGAUAGUUUGUACUCGGCAGAAUAUAGCCUGGAUACAUUUAAAGCUGACUACAUAGAAGAAAUUGUAUUUAUAUUAAUGGAAGGCUUAAAUAAUGUGAAUUAUGAAAAUAUUCAAAACUACCCUGAUCAUCAAGUCCUGUAUUUUAUAGGUUUCACAAAGAGGCAACACCAACAGAUUUUGGAUGAAACACCCAAUCUUAAAAAUAUGCAUCGGGGUAGUUUUGCAUUAACCGUACUUCUGUGCAAAUUAAGAACAGGGGACUCUGGGGACAGAUUAUCCUGUCUUUUUCAAGUUCCGCGAAGAACUUUGGAAACGUUGAUGUCUGUGGCUAGAAAUAUUUUAAUACGGGACUAUGUACCCCGACAUAUAGGCUUUGACCACAUGACAAGGGACCAAGUGGCAGCUAAAAAUUCUAUCGUUGCUGAUGGUAUUCUGGGUGACCCUGAUGUCCCACCACAGCAAAAACCAGCCAUUAGCAUUGCAGAUGCAACAUAUUUGUACACUCAAAAGAGUUCUAACUAUUUGUUUCAAAAGGAAACAUAUUCCCUCCAUAAAUAUAGGAAUUUGGUCAAACCAUUUAUUUUGUGCUGUUGUAAUGGGUAUAUCAUUGAUGUUCGCGGACCAUAUAGUGCCACUACAAAUGAUGCGACAAUAAUGCGCGAAUUGUUAAAUAAUCCGGAAUUUAAUAAUUUCUAUGAUGAAAAUGACAUAUUCGUCCUAGAUCGCGGCUUUCGGGAUUGCAUGGAUGCUUUGCACGAUAAAGGAUAUAUAGGCCAUAUGCCAGAAACAAAAGAAGACGGUCAUUCACAGUUGACCACCCUUGAAGCAAACAGGUCACGCUGUGUGACUAUAAACAGAUGGGUGGUUGAAGCUGUGAAUGGCCGUUUUAAAAGAGAUUUUAAAAUAUUCCGUCACGAAUAUUUUAAUCGUGCCUGUACACAUCUAAUGGACAAUUUUAAAAUAGCUGCUGCGCUACUAAACACAUUUUGCACCCAAUUCACCGACUCUCUCAAUGCUGAGGCGUUUGUAAAUAUUAUAAAUGAACGUAUGUUCCUCCAAAACACGAUUGCGGAUUUAGUUUUAGAACUUAACUUAAAUAGACGCAGUGCAAUAUUUAGUCCUAUUGAUGGCACAACCAUGGCAUUCCCAAGGCUAUCUAUGAACGAACUAAUUCUUUUUGCUUGUGGCACCUAUCAGAUCAGACAGGCACGGUCAUACGUAGGUGAGCACUUUAGGUUUCAUGGCAUUUAUACCUUGGAAGUGAGUCGAGACCAUAUACCUGGAUUGGAGGGAACCAAUCCUUUGUUGCUUCGAGCAAAAAUAAAAUCUCGCCAUUCAUCAGGGAAGACAUAUUUUGUUUUUAUUGUGACAGAGAGAAAUAUGAAUGGACGAGAAGCAAUAAUAAGUUAUUGUUGCAACUGCAUUGUGGGGCUUAGAACUGUAGGGUGCUGCUCACAUGUAAUGAGCAUCAUCUGGUACCUAGGGUAUGCUCGCCAUGAAGGUAUAAUGCGACCAGCUCCCUUCCUAGAUGAUGUAAUUUUAAGAAUCUAGU